This 24-nucleotide non-coding RNA is filed under the name Arabidopsis thaliana (thale cress). The record is from RNAcentral. Lineage: Eukaryota; Viridiplantae; Streptophyta; Magnoliopsida; Brassicales; Brassicaceae.
GCGAUCUGCCUCCUCCGCCUCUCC